GAACGCUGGCGGCGCGCCUAAUACAUGCAAGUCGAGCGAGAAGACGUAGCAAUACGUUUGUAAAGCGGCGAACGGGUGAGGAAUACAUGGGUAACCUACCCUCGAGUGGGGAAUAACUAGCCGAAAGGUUAGCUAAUACCGCAUACGACUCCUGGUCUGCGGAUCGGGAGGGAAAGCGAUACCGUGGGUAUCGCGCUCUUGGAUGGGCUCAUGUCCUAUCAGCUUGUUGGUGAGGUAACGGCUCACCAAGGCUUCGACGGGUAGCUGGUCUGAGAGGACGAUCAGCCACACUGGCACUGCGACACGGGCCAGACUCCUACGGGAGGCAGCAGUAAGGAAUAUUGCGCAAUGGGCGACAGCCUGACGCAGCGACGCCGCGUGGGGGAUGAAGGUCUUCGGAUUGUAAACCCCUUUCGGGAGGGAAGAUGGAACGGGUAACCGUUCGGACGGUACCUCCAGGAGCAGCCACGGCUAACUUCGUGCCAGCAGCCGCGGUAAUACGAAGGUGGCAAGCGUUGUUCGGAUUUACUGGGCGUACAGGGAGCGUAGGCGGUUGGGUAAGCCCUCCGUGAAAUCUCCGGGCCUAACCCGGAAAGGGCGGAGGGGACUGCUCGGCUAGAGGAUGGGAGAGGAGCGCGGAAUUCCCGGUGUAGCGGUGAAAUGCGUAGAGAUCGGGAGGAAGGCCGGUGGCGAAGGCGGCGCUCUGGAACAUUUCUGACGCUGAGGCUCGAAAGCGUGGGGAGCAAACAGGAUUAGAUACCCUGGUAGUCCACGCCUUAAACGAUGGAUACUAAGUGUCGGCGGGUUACCGCCGGCGCCGCAGCUAACGCAGUAAGUAUCCCGCCUGGGAAGUAC
RNAcentral lists this ribosomal RNA (855 nucleotides) under uncultured bacterium. RNAcentral's name for it is "bacterial SSU rRNA". It matches the Rfam family "Bacterial small subunit ribosomal RNA", at positions 31 to 883 of the family's 1533-position model. The record is from RNAcentral.